RNAcentral lists this ribosomal RNA (375 nucleotides) under uncultured fungus. Its description in RNAcentral is "partial small subunit ribosomal RNA". It matches the Rfam family "Eukaryotic small subunit ribosomal RNA", at positions 30 to 432 of the family's 1831-position model. The record is from RNAcentral. Lineage: Eukaryota; Fungi.
GCUUGUCUCAAAGAUUAAGCCAUGCAUGUCUUAGUGUAAAUAACUCUUAUGAAACUGCGAAUGGCUCAUUAAAUCAGUUAUCAAAUACGUGAUGGUCGCCUACUACAUGGAUAACCGUAGUAAUUCUAGAGCUAAUACAUGCACAAAGGCCCACUCACGUGGGUUGUGAUUAUUAGAUUCAAACCGGCCUCGUUCUGGUGAUUCAUAAUAACCGAACGAACCGCGUUCAGCGGUGAUUCUUUCUACAUUAUUCCCUAUCAGCUUUCGUUUUUUGUGUAGUGGACAAAAAAGGCUUUGACGGGUAACGGAGAAUUAGGGUUCGAUUCCGGAGAGGGAGCCUGAGAGAUGGCUACCACAUCCAAGGAAGGCAGCAGG